This 572-nucleotide ribosomal RNA is filed under the name Pangasius bocourti. Its description in RNAcentral is "partial 16S ribosomal RNA". It matches the Rfam family "Bacterial large subunit ribosomal RNA", at positions 1816 to 2597 of the family's 2925-position model. Lineage: Eukaryota; Metazoa; Chordata; Actinopteri; Siluriformes; Pangasiidae. The record is from RNAcentral.
CGCCUCCUGCAAAAAUCAAUGUAUAGGAGGUCUUGCCUGCCCAGUGACAAGUUAAACGGCCGCGGUAUUUUGACCGUGCGAAGGUAGCGCAAUCACUUGUCUUUUAAAUGAAGACCUGUAUGAAUGGUGGAACGAGGGCUUAACUGUCUCCCCUUUCAAGUCAAUGAAAUUGAUCUGCCCGUGCAGAAGCGGGCAUAAAAAUACAAGACGAGAAGACCCUUUGGAGCUUAAGAUACAAGAUCAACUAUGUCAAGAACUCUAAAAUUAAGUUAAACUAAAUAGUUGACUGAUCCCUAUCUUCGGUUGGGGCGACCGCGGGAGAAAACAAAGCUCCCACGCGGACUGGGAUUAUAAUCCUAAAACCAAGAAAGACAUCUCUAAGUCGCAGAACAUCUGACCAUAAAGAUCCGGCCUAACCCGCCGACCAACGGACCAAGUUACCCUAGGGAUAACAGCGCAAUCCCCUUUCAGAGUCCAUAUCGACAAGGGGGUUUACGACCUCGAUGUUGGAUCAGGACAUCCUAAUGGUGCAGCCGCUAUUAAGGGUUCGUUUGUUCAACGAUUAAAGUCCU